RNAcentral lists this ribosomal RNA (490 nucleotides) under uncultured bacterium. RNAcentral describes it as "partial 16S ribosomal RNA". It matches the Rfam family "Bacterial small subunit ribosomal RNA", at positions 30 to 507 of the family's 1533-position model. The record is from RNAcentral.
AUUGAACGCUGGCGGCAGGCCUAACACAUGCAAGUCGAACGGUAACAGGAAGAAGCUUGCUUCUUUGCUGACGAGUGGCGGACGGGUGAGUAAUGUCUGUGAAACUGCCUGAUGGAUGGGGAUAACUACUGGAAACGGUAGCUAAUACCGCAUAACGUCGCAAGACCAAAGAGGGGGACCUUCGGGCCUCUUGCCAUCGGAUGUGCCCAGAUGGGAUUAGCUAGUAGGUGGGGUAACGGCUCACCUAGGCGACGAUCCCUAGCUGGUCUGAGAGGAUGACCAGCCACACUGGAACUGAGACACGGUCCAGACUCCUACGGGAGGCAGCAGUGGGGAAUAUUGCACAAUGGGCGCAAGCCUGAUGCAGCCAUGCCGCGUGUAUGAAGAAGGCCUUCGGGUUGUAAAGUACUUUCAGCGGGGAGGAAGGGAGUAAAGUUAAUACCUUUGCUCAUUGACGUUACCCGCAGAAGAAGCACCGGCUAACUCCGUG